RNAcentral lists this transfer RNA (94 nucleotides) under Gluconobacter oxydans. RNAcentral describes it as "tRNA-Phe". The record is from RNAcentral. Lineage: Bacteria; Pseudomonadati; Pseudomonadota; Alphaproteobacteria; Acetobacterales; Acetobacteraceae.
CGGAGAUGGAGGGUUCGAAAAACCUGGAGGGUUCGAAAAACCUUUGAUUGAGUGCUCUUGUGCGUGAUUUCAGGUUCCUUAUCCUGAUUUUCGC